AUACGGAGGUUGCAAGCGUUGUUCGGAAUCACUGGGCGUAAAGGGCGCGCAGGCAGUUUGGUAAGUCAGAUGUGAAAGCCCACGGCUCAACCGUGGAAGUGCAUUUGAAACUGCCAGACUUGAGUACCAGAGGGGAAAGUGGAAUUCCCGGUGUAGAGGUGAAAUUCGUAGAUAUCGGGAGGAAUACCGGUGGCGAAGGCGACUUUCUGGCUGGAUACUGACGCUGAGGCGCGAAAGCGUGGGGAGCAAACAGGAUUAGAUACCCUAGUAGUCC
This 274-nucleotide ribosomal RNA is filed under the name uncultured bacterium. RNAcentral's name for it is "partial 16S ribosomal RNA". It matches the Rfam family "Bacterial small subunit ribosomal RNA", at positions 523 to 796 of the family's 1533-position model. The record is from RNAcentral.